AUGACCUGGCUCCUACUUGUGCGGUGUAUGAGUUGAGGUACCUGUGCCUGCAGCAUGAAAUGCAGGUCCCCCGUGAGGGACGUCAGUACGAAAUAUGUACUGAGUAUGUAAAGCUGUAAAUAAUCACAUAUGAUAUAGGAGCUCAAUAGAAAUCAGAAACAAGUGAAUAAGUCGUAAUAGGAGUGGACCACACUUACUAGAACUUGUGACAACCUGUACAUUGUAUUUAUUCAAUCACUUUACCUUCGUUCUUAUCGUCUUUGUAAUCAUUACUGUACUGUACUGUGACCAUUAGGAUGCCUCCAGUACAUAUCAACUGGGAUCGACCCAUGCUAGGCUUAUGCCCCUGGGAUACCACCCAUAAACACAUGAAAUAGGGAUCGACCCAUGCUAGGCUUAUGCCCCUGGGAUACCACCCGAUAAGAGAGAACUUUCAUCACUUAGUUCAAUUAAUCUUUGAGAUUGUUAUUUCGGUCGUCACCACAUUUUUGAUACCUUGAAACAAUGAUACAUCAAUAGGAACCAAGUAAUAGACCUUCUAUACAAUAACGAUGUAAUAAGGACUCAUUGGUACAUCAACAAUAUGUUUCAGAAUCAUCAAUAUCACAACAAUGAAAUAAGAGCCUUUUGGUAUAUCAAUGAACAUUUUGACACUUUAUAGGAUGGAAACAACUUCGUUGGUAACGUAGAACAAUACAUGUUUUUGGACAACCUCGGAAUCUUACUUGAUGGAACAUUGGUGUUUUCAUGCCAAAGAACAUUGUUAGAGUAUGCUUUACAUACCUCGUUGUAGAUUCAGCUACCAAUUCAACACAACUUCCCGCCUUUACAAAUCACUUAUCUACAAUGAAAUGUUUGGCAUCUAGUAUUAGCAACCCAACACCACAAUUCUCUUCCAUAAUUCCAUACUACCAAUAUUUGCAAAACAUUCCAAAAACCAACUUGAACAAUAGGUUUAUGUGUGUAUAUGUAUAUAAUCAUCAUCUCAAUACCACAUCAUCAAUACCACAUCAUCACCCCAACAUUUUGACACUUUAUAGAAUGGAAACAACUUCAUUGGUAAUGUAGAACAAUACAUGUUUUUGGACAACCUCGGAAUCUUACUUGAUGGAACAUUGGUGUUUUCAUGCCAAAGAACAUCGUAAGAGUAUGCUUUAAAUACCGCGUUGUAGAUUCGGAUACCAAUUCAGCACAACUUCCUGCCUUUACAAAUCACUUAUCUACAAUGAAAUGUUUGGCAUCUAGUAUUAGCAACCCAACACCACAAUUCUCUUCCAUAAUUCCAUACAACCAAUAUUUGCAAAGCAUUCCAAAAACCAACUUGAACAAUUGGUUUAUGUGUAUAUAUAUAUAUAUAAUCAUCAUUUCAAUACCACAUCAUCACACCAAAUUCCUUCACCAUUCAACAUAAUCCAACAUCAUUUCCCAAUCAUCUUUCAACAACAAUCAAAUAACAUACUUCUUAUGCUCACAUGCAUAUAUAUAUACAUAUCCAUAUAAAUAACACCAACAUAAUUUACAUCCUUACCAUAAAAU
RNAcentral lists this long non-coding RNA (1536 nucleotides) under Capsicum annuum. Its description in RNAcentral is "long non-coding RNA (CANN_LNC015797)". The record is from RNAcentral. Lineage: Eukaryota; Viridiplantae; Streptophyta; Magnoliopsida; Solanales; Solanaceae.